CCUGUUUGUAUCGGUGGGGGAUGCGGAACAUGGGGUGGUGUGUGUGCAGUGAUCGCAGGAGAAAAGAAAAUGAUUUGACUGUUCGCACGAUCGGCAACAAGCAACAAGCUGGUGGUGUCCAGCAGCACGUACAUGAUCCUGCGACGUGCGAUGCGAAAGGCCGGCCUACCAACAGUCAAGCGUACCAUCCUGCACCUUGCUAAAGGGUACCUGAGGGAACCUGGUGGUGGCGAUGGCUAUCACCAUUCGCCGAC
Molecule: long non-coding RNA, 254 nt
Organism: Pollicipes pollicipes
Lineage: Eukaryota; Metazoa; Arthropoda; Thecostraca; Pollicipedomorpha; Pollicipedidae
Exons: 3
Source: RefSeq, a predicted model, not a curated record